CGAACGCGGUUAUCCAGCAAUGGAUAACUGAGUGGCGAACGGGUGAGUAACACGUGGGUGACCUACCUUCGAGUGGGGGAUAACGUCCCGAAAGGGACGCUAAUACCGCAUAACAUCCUGCCUUUGAACAGGCGGAGAUCAAAGCCGGGGAUCGCAAGACCUGGCGCUUGAUGAGGGGCCCGCGUCCGAUUAGCUAGUUGGUGAGGUAAUGGCUCACCAAGGCAACGAUCGGUAGCCGGCCUGAGAGGGCGGACGGCCACACUGGGACUGAGACACGGCCCAGACUCCUACGGGAGGCAGCAGUGGGGAAUUGUUCGCAAUGGGCGCAAGCCUGACGACGCAACGCCGCGUGGAGGAUGAAGGUCUUCGGAUUGUAAACUCCUGUUGCCCGGGACGAAAAGCUCCGACCUAACACGUCGGAGUCUGACGGUACCGGGUGAGGAAGCCCCGGCUAACUCUGUGCCAGCAGCCGCGGUAAUACAGAGGGGGCAAGCGUUGUUCGGAAUUACUGGGCGUAAAGGGCGCGUAGGCGGCCUGCUAAGUCGAACGUGAAAUCCCUGGGCUCAACCCAGGAACUGCGUCCGAUACUGGUUGGCUUGAAUUCGGGAGAGGGAUGUGGAAUUCCAGGUGUAGCGGUGAAAUGCGUAGAUAUCUGGAGGAACACCGGUGGCGAAGGCGGCAUCCUGGACCG
This 691-nucleotide ribosomal RNA is filed under the name uncultured Bacillota bacterium. Its description in RNAcentral is "bacterial SSU rRNA". It matches the Rfam family "Bacterial small subunit ribosomal RNA", at positions 63 to 736 of the family's 1533-position model. The record is from RNAcentral. Lineage: Bacteria; Bacillati; Bacillota.